ACGGAGACAGGGUUUCACCAUGUUGGCCAUGCUGUUUUCACCAUGUUGGCCGGGCUGUUUUCGAACUCCUGACCUCAGAUGAUCCAUCUGCCUCCCAAAAUGCUGGGAUUACAGACGUGAGCCACCUCACCCGGCCCUACUAUUGGAUUUUUAAAGACAGAUAUUUAAGAACAUUCUUUGCUAGAACUGAGGACAAUUUAAACUUAUUCCAUUCAAGAAAACUUAGUGCAGAAUGCAGACUUUCCCUUUCAAGUAUAUGUAAAAGUUAACUUCUUUUUUUUUCCACCUCUGGAAGACAAUGUACAAUGUAGUACUCUUCAGAUACACUAAUGAGACCCUUUUUAUACUUUAACAGGGACGUAAACAUUUCCUUUUGUAACAAAAAUAAAUUAUGGGUUUCAUUUUAAAAAGCCUAUCCCCAAGAAAUGUUUUGAGUGUUAAUCUAAGUAAGAUUUCAUUAUUCUCAUAAGUAAAACUUUGAGUUCAAAUAAAGUUUUGAUUUUUUUUUUGAUAAUUGAAGGUAUAUGUAGGGGCUCAACCUAAAUGCCAGGGAAUUAACCCUCCAUAGGAAGUAAUCAUAUAAUUCUAAGUCAGUAUAUAAUUGAAUUGAUGUAGGAUUUUUAAGUAUUCUCUCAACUAUAUUAAAUGAAUUGUUUUUCCAGUUUUCUAGUGGUCCAAAAACUUAAAUAGGCUGCAAAUCUGCUGUGAUUCAAACCGUGCAAUUCCUCACAGGCAUCUCUGACUUGAGGGACUAAGUUCCUGUAAUUAUGUGUCCUGAAAUUAACUGGGUUGCCAGAUAGGUUUUCUCAACCUUUAAUAGCUUGUUGGAAGGCUUACAGAAUGCUCUUUAUUAGAAAUAUUUGGAACUACUUCCCCCCUUUUGGAUACUCAAAUUAGUGUUUUUCUAGUUCUCUGGCAUAAUUUGUAUAGCUGCUUCCUUUGUAGAAAGUAAGCUUAUGUUCUGCUUUUCCCUUUCUGGUUGGCUGGAGUGCUAGGUCACUCUUAUCUGUGCUCUAGGAAACUUUUAGAUUUCUACUUAGCUUAGGAUGACACCCUGAAAGAUUUAGGGUCUGCUUCUGUUUGGGUUAGGGGGUAGACACUUGAAUUCAUUGGUCUUUUUUUUGGCUCACUGCAGCCUUGACCUCCAGCACUCAAGGGAUCCUCCCACUUCAGCCUCUAGAGUAGCUGCAACUAUAGGUGCCUGCCACUAUGCUCACUAAUUUUGUGUAUUUAUUGUAGAGACAAGGUCUUACUGUAUUCCUAGGCUGGUCUCGGACUCCUGGACUCAAGGGAUCUUCCUUCUUCAGCCUCCCAAAGUGCUAGGGUAACAGGCAUGAGCCACCAUGCCCGGCCAAAUAGAUUGGUUUUUAUCAAAGAUGCUGUAAUAUUAAUAUGCAUCUUCCUGCUAUCCCUUCAAAAGUGAGAAUUAAUGUUGUUUUCUUUUCUUUUCUUUUUUUGAGAUGGAGUCUCUCUCUGUCACCCAGGCUGGAGUGCAGUGGCGCAAUCUUAGCCCACCGCAACCUCUGCCUCCCGGGUUCAAGCAAUUCUCCUGCCUCAGCCUUCCGAGUAGCUGGGAUUACAGGGUCUUGCUCUGUCACCUAGGCUGGAGUGCAGUGGUGUGAUCACAGCUCACUGGAGCCUCGACCUCCUGGGAUCAAGCGAUUCUCUCACCUCAACCUUUGAACUUCUAGAUAAGUGGUUCUCAAAGUGUGGUCCUUCAACCAACAGCAUCAUCACCACCCAGGAACUUAUUAGAAAUGGAAGUUCUUGCACCCUGCCAAAACCAGAAACUGCGGAUGGGUCCCAGCAAUCUUUAUUUUAACGACUGUUAAAAUCAGAAUCAAGUGAUUCUGAUGCAAACUUAAGUUUGAAAACAUUGUUCUAUUAAAAGUAAUGGCAAAAACCGCAAUUACUUUUGCACCAACCUAAGAGCUCUGCACUGUUCAAUAUGGUAGCUUCUAACUAUUGAAUUUUUUAAUGCUAUUAUCUCCUUUAUUCAAAAAUAAAUAUUUCACUUUGAUUCAA
Homo sapiens (human) is the source of this 2025-nucleotide long non-coding RNA. Ensembl annotates it as long intergenic non-protein coding RNA 1180. The record is from Ensembl. Lineage: Eukaryota; Metazoa; Chordata; Mammalia; Primates; Hominidae.